RNAcentral lists this unclassified non-coding RNA (385 nucleotides) under fungal sp. RNAcentral describes it as "partial internal transcribed spacer region". The record is from RNAcentral. Lineage: Eukaryota; Fungi.
AAGUCGUAACAAGGUGAACCUGCGGAAGGAUCAUUAACACGUAUCCAAACGUUAAAACCCCCCCGUGAACAUUGAUUCCUGCUCUUGUAACCCGCGAAGCUUGCAAUCUCUGGUAAAUCAUAGCCCGGAAAGUAGUUUUGAUUCAGAGACCUCUGGCCCGAGCGGUAGUUCUAUAGGCCUUGUUUCCCCAAGCAGUCAGUGUCUGAAAGUGUCAGUGAUUGUGCAAGGAUAACGCUUCACGAUUCUUGUAGACCGCAUCUCGCGGGCAGGAGCUAGGCCAAAGGGUCCCCAUGCCCCCUUACAACCCCACAGUUAAAUGUGAAGCUCAAUGUAAUACAUUGGGUAAAAAACCGAACAACUGUUAACAAUGGAUAUCUUGGUUCUC